UAUUUGUGUAUAAUCUCUACGGAGCAGCCAUUGCAGAAACGAAUAGUAUGUGGAAGGCUCAUUUGAGAAAUACCUAGAACGACUAAGAGAUCCAAAGGAAAGUGCUGGCCAGCUGGAAAUAAGUGCUUUAUCAAUGAUGUACAAGCGAGACUUCAUUCUGUAUCGGUACCCUGGAAAGCCACCCACAUAUGCCACAGACAAUGACUUUGAAGACAAGGUGAGCAGAAGUGAGGGCAAUUUCCUCCUACCCCUGGUAUCUACUUACCUUCAG
This 271-nucleotide long non-coding RNA is filed under the name Manacus vitellinus (golden-collared manakin). RNAcentral's name for it is "lncRNA (ENSMVIG00005012118.1)". The record is from RNAcentral. Lineage: Eukaryota; Metazoa; Chordata; Aves; Passeriformes; Pipridae.